Long non-coding RNA from Lemur catta (Ring-tailed lemur), 3364 nucleotides. RefSeq lists it as uncharacterized. NCBI's taxonomy places the organism in Eukaryota, Metazoa, Chordata, Mammalia, Primates, Lemuridae. The record is from RefSeq and is a predicted model, not a curated record. The transcript has 6 exons.
UACUCGGGAGGCUGAGGCAGAGGUUAACUUGAGCCCAGGAGUUUGAGGCUGUAAUGAGCUAUGAUGACACCACUCACUGUACUCUAAACCUAGGUAAAAGAGCAAGACCCUGUCUCAAAAAAAAAAAGAAAAAAAAAGUCCAAUUCUUCACCAGGCCCCCCAGAGGCCUUCCUCACCUACAGCUGGUCCCUUCUCCAGGGAUGUGGCCAUCCUGGUCUCCACCCUACUCCCCAAGGACGCCGAACUCCCACCUGCUCCCAGGCUGUGCUCUGCUCUGUCCCCUUGGGUGGAAAUUUUUUUCCCUUCCCAGGAACAACUUCUUCCCCUGUGGGUGGUGGCAUGUGCGACACUUCCUCCAGGGUAGCUCACGUGGCCCCGCAGCCCACGUUGUCUUUUAGUGCUCACCCUGUAGAAACCCACCCAAUAGGAUGGCAGCUGCUCAAGGUGUGGCCUGUGCCUAAGGCAGCGCCGAGCCUGGAACGGCCCCUUCUGAAGGAUGGGCCGAAGGAAGGACCAUGGUGAUGCUGGGCCCUAGGGAUGGGCUUGCGGGCAGCAGCAGGACGCCAUGACAUGACAGCGCCAGAACCAACCUCGAAGCCCCCCGGGAUAUGGUGACUGCUGAUCAGAGACAGGAAGCUGGGGGCGGGGCAGCUGUCCUGGCCACACAGCAGGCUGGCAGCACAGCAGGGACCUGAGCCCCAGCAUCCAGUGCAUCCAAGCACGUUCUGCCACAGCCGCUUGCCCAAGGACCCCAUCUGCUGGCUCCUUCCCACCCAUGUCACGAAGGCCACUCACCUCUGAGGUCUGCUUCUGCCAUUCCAGCCUGCGGAUGGGCGCCGAGUCCAGCGCUGAGAGGAUGGCCAGGACCAUCUGGAACUCUGAAAAUGACACUUUUGGGUCCAAUGAAGCUGGUGACAGAACCCGUGAGCUGCUUUUGCUCGGUGCAUACCUCCUCUGCCCCUAGGUACGCUAGAAACCACACCACUCCCUGUUUAACAGUCCGGGAGACCUCAGCCUGGCAGCAGCAUCACACAGGCAUCAUGUGGACGGCAGCGCUGAGCGGCCAAGAGGCCUGAGAAUGACAAGCAGGCAUUGCCUUGCUCUGCUAAGAUCACCCUGGACACCAGAGGUAGCUGAACCGUGACCUAACAAGGGAGGAAAAGCUUGAACACAUCCAACAUUUCACAAAGAAGGUGGAGUCAACAUGAAGUUGCAGGGUCUUGCUAUGUUGCCCAGUCUGGUCUUGGAACACCUGGCCUCAACUGAUCCUCCCACUUUGACCUCCCAAAGGGCAGCCCAUGUUGGAGAAAUUUACUGCAUAUUUCUACACCUGGUCAGGUUUGGCUUAUGCUAAUAUUGAAAAAUGUUACAAAAGAUUAAAGAGACAUAAUGACUAAGUACAAUGGAGAACUCCUGAUUGAUCUUGGUUGCAAAAAAAUUAAGAUAUACAAGACAUUUUGGGGAGAACUGGGGAACUGGAACAUGGUUUGCCUAUUAGAUGACAUGAGGGAAUUUAUUAAUUUUCUUAGGUGUGACAAUGGUAUUGUGAUGAGGAUUAUUUUUGGAGUGGCAUGCUGAAGUAUCUGUGGGCCGAGGCCACAUCUGCAACUUACUUUCAGGUGGUUUAGCAACACAAUUUAUACAUGUCUCGAAAUGUCAACAAUAACAAGUCUGUGUGGGUGUAGGGGUAUCUUUUAUGCUCCCCGUCACAACUUGAAAGAGAACAAAACCACGGAAGGUUGGUCAGGAUUGGAAAAGGUGAGACUAUCAUGGUAACUUGCAAGGUGGAUGACGCAGGUGCAGACCAUCAGGAAGUAAUGGCAGACUGCAUGUUAAGGCCUUUGAAGAGUAGGAUUCUUAGUGAUUUUUCCUGCUUUCUUGGAAUUUUCUGUUCUUUCCAACAGUUUCUAACCUGAGCAUACAUAAUUUUGAGAAUCAGGUCUACUGCCAUACCACCCUGAACGUGCCGGAUCUCGCCUGCUCUUGGAAGCUAAGCAGCGUCAGGCCUGGUACAGUGCCGGCCGCUGAGGGAUCUCUGGGAUGUCCAUCUUUCCCAGCUGGUGAUUCCUGAAAAGAGACAUGAGCAUUGAGUUUGGACAGGAGGUCCACUCCAGGGCGGAUCUGUCUUCCCAGCAUUCCUGCCCACAGUGGCUUUGGAGUGCAAGGUCCUACGGAGCAAUCUGAGAUGAGAACAAGUUAAUGGUGAAUGCAGUUAAUUACAGGAGGCACAAGCCCUCUUGAGACUACCAUCCUGCCUUUGGAGAGAGUGAAAGGUGCCACUAAUUGUAACAUUUUUCAGCUGCCAACCUAGACGAAGCCACCUCAACCACCUCCUCAAAGAAAGAGAACUGCCACCACAGCCAGCCUACCAGAGCUUGACCAGGCCUGGGCUAAGGGCUCUGCACACAGCUCCUCAUUUGGCCUCUUCAAUGAGCUAAGACCACUGUCCCCAUGCCACGUGAGGAAACCGAGGCUAGAAGUCAAGAGUGCUGCCCAAGAUCACAUAGCUGGUAAAUGGCAGAGCCUGAAUUUGAGCCCAGGGCUGUUACCUGCAAUGCCUGUGCCCUUAAGCACUGGGCACUGUGGUCACGUGCACAACUCCACUGACUUCAAGAAGUCUUUAGGGCUAUAGUGCUCAUCCUGGUACAGUCCCCAGAGGUCCAGCUGCCUAGGCACGUGAGUGUCAGUCCCCCCUCUCCUCCUCCAGCAGACUUGCUUCCUCCUGGGUCUCUGGGCCCACCCGAUUCAGUGACAACCAAGGCCACCGCAGAGAACUGGGGUGGCACAGAUAUAUAGAACAUCACUGUGGAGAGUGGUUUAAGGACAAGAAAAGUCAGCCCUGGAUGCAGCUGUUGGUAGAGGCAGACAGCAUGGAAAGCCUCUCUCUGGGGGGAUGGACUCCACCACAUGGAGGCCGAGCUGGAUGGUGCCGGAGGCACAGGUCUGAGGGGACAGCUGAGGUAGGGACAUCAGCUUGGCUCCCAGGGACAGGAUCAAAUCCCACUGGAGUGAAAAUUCCUCAUGUUCCAUGACUUGCUAACGCCUGAGGUGGGGCUUGCCCUGUGUGGACAUCCACAAUUCUGUGGGGACCGCACUCUUAAGGGGGGCCCUGCCCUUGGGGUUGAUGACUGGGGAGUUCUCAGUCCUCAUGGACCCUCCCACAAGGACCUUGCCCCACUUGGCAUGUAGGGAAGAGCUAUUUUUGAAGCUUCUGAAGUUGCUCAUGUUUUGCUGAAGCAAAACUUGGAAAGCUGAUUGCUCAACAGAACUGCAGUCUCUCGACCACCAGGAGCUGGGACGGCAACAUAACGAGGGUGAUGGUGCCAGUAGAGACGGGGUCUCGCUCUUGCUCAGGCUGGUCUCC